CCUUCCUCGGGCUGUGCCGCACCUCGGCCCUUUUGCUUGCCGCCAUCUGUGCGGUGGUGCCCAACGCAGGACUGGCGCUGCCCGCUGCCCGUGCCACACAGGACCCUUCUCCUAAAGCGCAAGAAGAAACCGUAGAAGGUAUUCCCCCAAAUAGGUUCCUGAUGGGAUGUGCCUCACGGAAAUGAGCAAAGGGACAAGAGAUGGGUGUGGUCCUGGAACUGUGGCACCCGUCUGGCAAGGAGAGAAGAGGUCAAUGUCGGCAACGGCUUACCUCGUCUCUGAGCUUCUCGAGUGUGCAGAAGACAGAUCCGGGUUCGCUUAAGCUACAGCUGGGGUUUCUGUUAAGUUUCUCAAGACCCGCCUAAGAGUGAACAGUAGCCAAAUCAUAUGCGGAUGUUCAACAGCGCACAGAUAGAUGUCUGUGCCCCUGACCCCUGCGUUGUUCAACUGUACUAUACGAGGAAAGAAGGAAAAAGGAAAUUAGGAAAGUAACACGGAAAUCAACCCGAAGGAAGCAGAAGGAAGGAAAAGAAGGCGAGAACAGAUACUAACGAGGCAGAAAGCCCAGAUGCUGACCCGCGGACUGAUUUGUUCCUGGUCCUUCGAGGUGGGCAGAGCCCACACCGGAAGGUUCCACGAGCCGGGCGUCCUGAGGCCGCACUGCAGCUUGUUGCGGAGAUUUCUGCCUCCGGAAGAGGCCCGUCCGUGUUGGCCCUUUCACGUGACCUUCCUAACUCAGCAGAGCGACCUGACGUUGUCUGGGCCUUGCUCCUCCCCCCCCCCCCCCCCCGGGGCUUUGCCAGUUGGGACCAUGUUGGGUUUGUGUUACUGUUCUCCGGGAGCGGCCAAGGGUCAGCUCCUUUGGUCCGCCUGGGGGGGGGGCGGGAUGGGGGGGCUGUUAGAAAUAUAGAGUCUCAGCCCCCCGCCCCCCAGCUCUGCUGAUUCAAAACCCACCUGGAGGAGGAAGAGCCUUGGAGGAUUCCCACAAGGCGUGAGAGACGCUGGUCUAGAAAGCUCGCCGGAGAGGAUGCCGAGUUUCACCUGAGCUUUUGGGAGCCACAGGCAGGUGCGCCCCGAAGGCCCCGUUCUCCGGCCAGUGAAGACCUGGGGUGUGUCCUCCCCGCCAUCCCCGCCUCCUGCCGCACCUCCCCUCACAGCGCUGGGGGCUGGGGGUGCUUCCACGCUCCCUUGUUCUUCUCCUCUUAGGCACCGGCUGGCCGCCCCCCGCCACCUUCCGCCAGGCUGUCCCAUAGCUUCAUUUAGGGGCGCUUGCGCCUGGGGCGUGGACACCCUCAUACCAGAGGGCGGGUAAAUGACCUUAACGCCGACUGACUCAUUGUCCCAGGAGGCAAGGGGGGAAGCACAUCCAGCUCUGGGGUGAACACGCAGAAACAUUAAAAGGGGUCAGAAGGGGAAGAGAGAAAGCAGGUCAUGUGCCUGCCAGGCGAGCUGGCCGAUCUCCCCUCCCAAGAGGGACGUACCAGGAGCUGGGCCGAGUCACCCCACCCUCCUGGCCAACUUCACCGGAAAGGCUGAGCGUCCCCCUCCACAUGGGGUAAACUGUGGCUUGUUCGUUCUGCCGCCCUUUGCAAGUUGGGAGGGGGGACCCUUGUGCGGUUAUAGAAAGAGCCUGGUUUCAGAGGAACAGUCGUCUCCUUCCCCCAUGUUAAGGCAGGGAAGUGGCCCAGCUCUGUCCGGAAGGAGGGCUUGAUGGCAGAGGAAUCCACGGCACGGCAAAGGCACAACCCCUUAUUGGUGGUGUCAGGGAUCCCGGCAUGUUUCAUCAGGGACUCCGCACACUGGACGUUCCAUCCUCCAUGGAGUGCUCAGGGAGGGGGGCCAGAACGGCCCCUGCGGCCCACCCGGGAGAGGUCACACUCAAGGACGCUUCUGCCAAAAUACUCUUUCUAAUGUUUAUUUAUUUUUGAGAGAGAGAGAGAGUCAGAGCUCACGUAAACUUGCCUUUCCCGUCUUUGGAAAUCUCGUUGUGAGCAAUGCAGUCGAGUCCUUCCAACUAAGCAAUCGGGGGAUGGCUGGCUGGCCCUGGGGAAGGCUCCGCUUCAGAGGAGGAGGGAGUAAGGAUGUACACUUUUCCCCCCUUAAACUCUGCCCAAUUUCAAAACUGCGCCUCUAGAAGCACCUGCCGUCACGCCGGUCGUGACCAUCAUCACGGUAGCUGAGGGGUAUUGGAGGUUCAGUCAGAGGCGGUGGACCGAGCUCUCCUGCCGCAGGAGAUGGUCAGCGCUGCGCGAGUCAGGGUCCGUGGGGAGGGGUAUGGUUGGCUCGUGGAGUCCGUGGGAACAGCGAAGGGGUGACCAGCCAACAGCUGGAGCCGCGUGGGACGAGGGGACCCCGUCGGGCACCUGUAGCCGCACCUCGCAAACCCAGCCUGUGCAAACGUCGCUUGUUCAAGUAGCCAUGGUGGCCCAAAGCAGUGUCGAUCCUGCUGGAACUGGAGGGUGUCCCCCUGCGAAGCCGACGGGCUCCCUCACGCGUAGGUCAUGUUUUUAAAAGAACAGAAUUGCCAAAUCUCCCCGACGUGGCGGCUUUCGACUUCUCACAGUGGCACGAUGGUGAUCUGAACCCUUCUGUGAGUUAUUUGCGAUGCUUCCCGCAGCUUAAUAGAAACCAAACAUUUACAAAUAAUAAGGCCACAGAGGCUCACUGAAAUGGCCUGUUUCUUUUCACGAGCCUGGGACCUCGCCAGCCUGACGCUGUCUUUAUCUGCGUUUACUGCUGACGUAUCAGUCAAGGUUUAGCCGGUCCUUAGCAGAGCCAGUCCUUCCAGAAGCUUCUCUGCCUACUGGUCCUCAUCCACAAGAGACUCGUGGCUACAUCAGGAGAAGGCGAGCAAAAGGAUCCAGCCCUACAGAGAAGGACGCCUAAGGCCGACCCCUGGAGGUGCUCCCCUCGCGUGGACUUCCCGGUGACGGUCCCUAUUUCAAACAUUCUCCUCGUCUGGCUCAGUCUCCCUGAGGUCGGCUGUCAUUUCUCCCCGAGGCUGAAGUGCUGUCGCUAUACAAGGGCCCUUUGAGUCUUCGUGGAGAGCUGGUAAUUGGGCUCGGAAGAGGGAAACAGGAGAACUUUCAUUAGGACAUUAUUUACUGGUUUAUUAGCCUGAAGAAUCAUGCUUUGAUGAAAAGUGCCGACAACGCGCUCAUGGAAAUGGCAUCCCCCAUCGGCAAUCCCGUGGGCCUCUCUUGGGAUCCUCGGGAUAGCUCGGCCUGCAGUUAUGAUGGAGACAUCACCUAUGAAAGCCGUUAUUCUCUAUGCCAAACCUUCCAUCAUUAUCAGGGUCUCAGAGCUUAAUUGUGUUCUAAGUGAAUUUUGAGACUCUGCCUUAAUUUUUCCACCAAUAGGCAAGUGGUCCAAUUGGAAAUAAGUACGGUUGACCUUUGAACAACAUGGGUUUGAACUGCACGGAUCCACUUAUAUGCGGGUUUUUGUCUUUUUUUUUUUUUUUUUUUUUUUUUUUUCUGGAAAAAGCUUUAUUGUUUCAUUUGGUCCACAGCUUGGGAGAGGACUCCGGGGUGGUUAAAAAGCUGCCAGCGGCUACAGGGAGAGGUGUCAAGGAGCCUUGACACCAGGGGGAUGCCAGAGGGGACUUCAAGGAUCAGAGGCUCCCACAUAUGCUCAAGGCUGAGCCUUUCCAAGAGAUACUCCACCAGCCCAGCCUGGGGGCCACCAGCCCGUGGAGGUGAGUCAGGUGGCGCCUGUCUUCUUGAUGAGUUUCACCUCCUUAUCCAGAAAGCAGUUCUCUGAAGUCACAGACGUGGGGGUCUGUGCGGGCAGACCCCUGGGUGUGCAGAUCCAAAGGGGUCUGGUUCAGUUUUCUCUAGGGCCGUGGCAGCUUCCCUGGCGUCCAAGGGUUUACUCCACUCAUCCUGGGACCACUUUGGUGCAUCCUGGAAGAGGGCACGGCUGCCAUGCUGGUUUUGCAUCUUCAAGAGAUGCCGGGUGCCCUGAGCUUUUCUUUGGCCAAAUGGAGGAAGAAGUGGCCCAUGGGCUCCUGAGCCCCAUCCCUGAGGUCAAAGAAGCCUAGAAGGAGGAGCAGGAGGCCCACACAUGCGCAUUGACCAGGUGGUCCUGGAAGCAGAGGAUGCCUGAGAAAACGUGGUUCCAAAGGGCUCAGUGGGAAAAAAGGUCGGAGGAUGGUCAGAGGUUGGAAGAAGGGGCACCAUCAAAUCAGCACUUUGCACAUUUCUAAAACAUACACUUUUAUUUAUGGCUGAUGCUUCAAUAAAGCCGGAAAACUAAUACAUGCUCUGUUAUUUUAUUUCGUAGACACUUUCAAAAGUUAGGACAAAUAUAAUUUUAUUUUGCAAAGCAUUUGCAAACGAAAUGAAAUCAUUUUGGUUUCGUGAUUGCAGUUCUAGACAUUGGCCACAAAACGGUAUCAAUGGACUCGCCAAAGAGAAACUCAACCUAUUUCCAGCGAUUUCAGUACCGUUUGAAUAAUACGCGGUCCCCCAAAGUAAUACCUUAAAGGACACCAUGCCUUCAACUACAAAAAUAUCAUCAUGUAAUUGUUUUUCUUUAGGAAAUAAUAUUUUAGAGUCACUCUGGCUCCUGUUUGUUCCUGAAAGGUAUACUUACGCAAGUCUACCGUAAGAAAAAAUAAGAUUUUUUUUAAGCCAUAGAAGAAUAUGUAUUGACAUGGAAAAUGUUAAUGGUGUACCGCUACAUGAAAUAUACAGGGUACAAAGCAGUAUAUACAGUUUAACACCAUUUUUAUGGAAAGAGAAAUGGCCAUAUAUACAAAAUCAUGCAUAGGAAAAAACCAGAAGGAUGUACAUAGCAAAUGUUGAUAACGGUUAUCUCUAGAGAGCAGAAUUAGAGGUGAUGAUGCAAUUUUUCCCAGGAAAUGUCACCUGCUCUCCGAACAGAAUCUGCUUCUAGCUAUUCUUUCUUGGGUGCGAUGAGCUUGAUAAAAUUCUUUUCAAAUGGACUCUGUUUCAUGAUACAUAUCUCCAAAUCAUACUGCUUUUCCCAUGUAAAAAGUAGAUGUUACUUACUCUUACAUACUGGCAUAUGGAGAAUAUUUGUUACUAAUACAAUAUACUAUCAAAUGUGCCACAGCCUCGGGGCACCUGGGUGGCUCAGUCGG
Long non-coding RNA from Felis catus (domestic cat), 5107 nucleotides. RefSeq lists it as uncharacterized. The transcript is spliced from 8 exons. The record is from RefSeq and is a predicted model, not a curated record. Lineage: Eukaryota; Metazoa; Chordata; Mammalia; Carnivora; Felidae.